RNAcentral lists this long non-coding RNA (3791 nucleotides) under Gallus gallus (chicken). Lineage: Eukaryota; Metazoa; Chordata; Aves; Galliformes; Phasianidae. The record is from RNAcentral.
UUCCUUUCUUCAUUUAAAACAGAUCUAAUAUAUAUGAAUUAUUAUUGUAAGUCAUAAUAUAAUGUAUGUGAAAGAACCUAUAGCUGAUAGUCUCCAAGCGCAAUUACAGGACAAAGGGCACUUCCUUUGCUUUGAAAGGUUUAAAAACCCUUGCAGCUUGCUUGCUUCAUGAUAGCAGCAGCAGUAGAUGCCUUUCUCAAGUCUUUCUUUUUUUUAAUAUAAUUAAUUAAUUAAUUAAUUAUGUCAGCUACUUUCCAAUCAAGGCAAUUUCAGACAGCCUCUUAUGUGACUGAAUAAAGCUGUGAUUGACACACAGUUGCAAACAUUUAAAAGAAAGAAAGAAAUAGAUGAAAGUCCAGAAUCCUUACUUCCUCAUGAUGAGAUGAAAGUAAAAAUUGAACAACAUUGAAGAAAGGAGAGGAUCAAGUUCAUUGCUGUUGCCAGCAAUGAGUAUAUCAUAUUGUGAAACAUUCUUCAGUUUACAGAGUGAACAGUAGUGUUCAGGCUAAUCAGCAUAAACUUUCAGAUCGACUUUGUAUUCCAGAAAAGUGCAAAUGCCACACUUAAAGCAAGUCCUUGUUGAGGCAUUUGCUUGAGUGCUGUUAAGUAAAUCACAUACCUAAUCCAGAAGAGAGUUUCCAGCCUUGUAUAAGGGUUAAGUUGUAAAGGACCUCUGGAGACCAUCUAGUCCAGCCUUAACAAUGGGGCUGGGCACUGCCAAACUUAUCUCCUGCAGCUGGAGUCUGAGGAUAUUCAGGCGUUGUGUCUCAGAGAAGAUACUGUCUAUUUUCCUUUCAUCUUCUCUAAUGCUGUGCAGCCUGCUCUCUUUCUCCCAUAAAUCCUCCAUUUUACAGCAAAGUUCCUCCAUGGGACAGCGCUUACGCAGUGGGAGGGCUGCAUCCACCAGCUGAAGCUCAAUCUUGGUUAAAUCUUUCCCCCUAGCUGGGCGAGCUGCUGAGCUGCUCCAACACCUGCAGGGAAAAUGACUCUCUGACAUGUUACCACCAUGUCCAAGACUGUGACAGUGAUGCAAACUUGACUAAGACACCCUUCUUUGCAAUCUGUGAUAGUGAUGCAAACUUGACUAAGACACCCUUCUUUGCAAUCUUCUGUGCAAACUGCUGUGUCUGUUGGGUACUUCUGGGAGCUGAGGGCAGUACAAAAUGUAAUCUUUAUUUAAUACUUUUUAGUGUUAAUGUUGCUAGACUGUAUUUACUAAGUCAUUACUCUUUUUUUCUAGAUCAUGAACUACAGUGUUUCUCAAGUAGCAACAUUAUACAUGAGAAAACUUAUUUUAAAACCAUCAGUAUUAGAAAUGUAGGCAUGACAGUAUGUCUUCUGUAUGUAGAUUUAUGUGCCUUAACUUGAAUGUUUAAAGCAAAUUCCUCUUUUAAGUUUUGAGCUUUAUUAAAUUAAUUGAUAAAAAACUAAAAUUGUCCUUCUUAGUAAGUUACAAAAAUGCUGAAAUAGAGGUGGAGGAAAGAACUGUGACUAUAUGAAAGAUCACAGUUCUCACAAAUCAUCUUGAAAAUACAGAUUUGGGGAAUUAAGGAAAGAGCAGGGAAACCUCUGUUUGUAGAAAUGUUUAUAACACCAGGUUUUGUCCAAAGUAUAAAGUGUUAGUGGAAUUAAUGGUCUUCCAUUUCCAUAAUUCCUGUACUUAUUAAUAACCCUUUCAGUCAUUCACCUGCUUUGAUAUGCAGAGAAAUAUUCAAACGCUUGCCUGGCAAUACACAGGUAUUUUUGACACUUCUUUUUAUGUCAGUUAUUCAUUAUGGUAAUGGUACUUUGUGAUAUGCAGUUUCUGGAUUUAUGACCCAUUCUUGAUAAGCAUGAAUCCAGCCUGCAUGUGCAUCUUUGAUAAGGUUCUAAUUGGAUAGCAGUGACCUUUCUGAAUGUAAUUCUAGGAGGAAGAUUAAAAAGCAGUCCAGAAAGUGACAGGUUCGGGACAAUAACAUAUGAAUUCAGCUCUGCUGGCAGGCAUGAGAUGUAAGCCAUGAUAAAUUAGAGACAGGCUAAGCAGGCUUGCUGAAAGAUUGUUCAUUUCUGCUGCAUCCUUGGAUAUUGCCAACAGUGCCAUAUUUUCCCUGUAAUCCAAAUUCAGUAUAUGCUGUUUACACGUGCUAGAAAAUUGUGCAACUAGGAAAGUUUCAGAAGACACUGAAGGGAGCCUAUUAGGCUUUGUACCUCUGAAUGAUACUGUCCUUGAUGGAAUCAUCCAUUUGUUGUCCUUACUGAACUACUUGAUUCUGUUCCUGUGUGCUGCUUCUGAUGGCUUGCUGAUCUAAUUAAGCUAAUUAAAAACAAGAAAGUGAUUAGCUUCAUCCAGUGCCUGAUUAAGUAGAUCACAAAUCAAAAGUAAAAGCAGUCAGUUUGACUCUCCUUGCCUUUUUUUUUUUUUCCCCUUUGAAAAUAAAACAACUAUAGAACUUUCUCAGCAUGCUUGGUUAGAGGCUUAAGGUAAUGGAGGAUUGCACUAGGAAAGAAACUGUAUAUCAAGCCUGUUGAUUUUUAGGUAUAUCACAUGCACAGUUUCAGUCCUGUUUUUACUGGUUCUUAGGACUGGUUUUUGCAUUGUGACAAAAAAUAGUAAGCAUUUGAAGUCACUUUUUACCUCAUGACAAAUACUUGUUCUACAGUAUGAAACCUGAGAUCACCAAACUCAAAGAAGAAAAUAUUCUUAUCUGCAGUAAAACAAAUCAAAUAGCCUGGUUUAAAGCCUUGUAAACCAUCUAUAUCCAGUCUCCAAUGUUUGUGGUGCAGAAUUCAAAUGGACACUUCCUCUAGUUUUUGAAGUAAAAUAGAGGUAGAAAAAACUUAUGAAUAUAAAUAGGGUUUAGGGUAACUGUGUAAGUAGGACAUAGGUUACUGAAGUUAUAAACAAAUAAUUGUAAUUUUAUUUAGGUUUGUAAACUUAGCCGUGAUGGAAAUAUAAAUUGAUUUCAUAGUUUUGUGCUUAAUCUUAUGACAUAUAUAUUUAAAUUAGACAUACACUCCCAUACUAGUGAUAUUUGUGAGAGAGGGUUGUAUUUAUUUAUUAAUGUCUUUAUUUACUAUACAGCAUGCUGAUAAAAAUGAGCUGUGGCAACAUCUCUGAUAGUUCAUGUUUUAAUCUGCCUUGAUAGCUUUUGAGUAUAGAUAACGGUAAGAAAGUGUCUUAGGUUACCACACAUAUUUGUCCUUUAAAUAUUAAUAGUCUACCAAAUGAACAUACUUAAAAGCAGAUAGAAAAUGAAAUACAAUUUGCUUUCAUAAUUAAAAAACUUAAAUCUGGCAGAAAAGAGUUUGAAGUGGAAGGCCAGAUUUUGGUUGUCUCAAUAAAGUGUUCAAGAGAGAGGUUUAGAAGGGAAGCUUACCUUGCUAGGACGAAUGUCCAUUAAUCAGUCAGAAUUUUAUUGCUUUCUUGUAAGAGUUCCAACUGAGAAAUAGAAAAACUGUGAAUAUGAGUGAGAAAGGACUAAAAAUGUUAUUAGGGGCAGCAUGCAUUCUAAUAUCAUUGCCAUGCCCUUUCAGAAGGCCAUAUAACAGGUAAUUUAGAGGUCAUGUUGCAGGUCAACUGAGAAUUGUUGAACAGGUAAAGAAGCAUUUUUCCCUCUAAAGGCAAAAUUAUUGAAUAUGGUUGCUUUAAGGAAAAUAAAGAUCUUGAUAUUUAAAUGCUGAACCAUCUACUUGACUUUCAGAAAUUCUGCCAAAUUUGCUGGCGUAUUUUAAGCAUGAAGGAAUAUGGGUGGUUUUGCAUCAUUAUAUGUAAAAGUUUGAGGGUUCUUUCUUCCUUUCUCUCUCUCUCUCUC